AUGCUGGAUCGGCUCCUCGGCUGCGUGGGCGGCGAGGCUCCGACAGAAGUUUCCUGUGGCCCGGGGUCGCGUCGUCGGCCUCCGGUGCCUGGAUCUGAAGUAUGGCGCCCCAUCCACCUCCUCUGGCCUCUGCCCCCGCCAGAUCCACCUGCUGGUGACCCCGGUCACCGUCCGGCCGCCGGCCGGGCGGGGUGGUGCGAGUUCCUGACCGGGAGAAAUCCCUGGGUCGUCCCGGACGGCCUGCCAGUGGCAAUGUCCGCGGACGUCGCGCCCCUCCCUGGAGGCAUCGACAAGGUCUGUUCUCCCCAUCCCCUCCCCUCGGUUCCCGGAUGA
Molecule: ribosomal RNA, 333 nt
Filed under: Triticum aestivum (bread wheat)
Lineage: Eukaryota; Viridiplantae; Streptophyta; Magnoliopsida; Poales; Poaceae
Description: partial small subunit ribosomal RNA
Source: RNAcentral